RNAcentral lists this ribosomal RNA (279 nucleotides) under uncultured bacterium. RNAcentral's name for it is "partial 16S ribosomal RNA". It matches the Rfam family "Bacterial small subunit ribosomal RNA", at positions 506 to 784 of the family's 1533-position model. The record is from RNAcentral.
UGCCAGCCGCCGCGGUAAUACGGAGGGUCCAAGCGUUGUUCGGAAUUAUUGGGCGUAAAGCGCGUGUAGGCGGUUCGUUAAGUCUGAUGUGAAAGCCCGGGGCUCAACCCCGGAAGUGCAUUGGAAACUGGCGAACUUGAGUACGGGAGAGGAAAGUGGAAUUCCCGGUGUAGAGGUGAAAUUCGUAGAUAUCGGGAGGAAGACCGGUGGCGAAGGCGACUAUCUGGCCAAAUACUGACGCUGAGGUGCGAAAGCGUGGGGAGCAAACAGGAUCAGAUA